This 240-nucleotide unclassified non-coding RNA is filed under the name Helicodendron sp. RNAcentral's name for it is "partial contains 5.8S ribosomal RNA, internal transcribed spacer 2, and large subunit ribosomal RNA". The stretch from base 1 to 52 matches the Rfam family "5.8S ribosomal RNA", at positions 103 to 154 of the family's 154-position model. The record is from RNAcentral. Lineage: Eukaryota; Fungi; Ascomycota; Leotiomycetes; Helotiales; Helotiaceae. RNAcentral also lists the same sequence under 1 other name.
AACGCACAUUGCGCCCGCUGGUAUUCCGGCGGGCAUGCCUGUCCGAGCGUCAUUAUGACCAAUCAAGCUCUGCUUGGCCUUGGGGCCUGCUAUACCAGCGGCUCUUAAAACCAGUGGCGGUGCCGUCUGGCUCUAAGCGUAGUAAUUCUCCUCGCUAUAGGGCUCUAGACGUCCACCCGCCAGAACCCCCAAACUUCUCAGGUUGACCUCGGAUCAGGUAGGGAUACCCGCUGAACUUAA